RNAcentral lists this ribosomal RNA (2266 nucleotides) under Salmonella enterica subsp. enterica serovar Typhimurium. RNAcentral's name for it is "partial 23S ribosomal RNA". It matches the Rfam family "Bacterial large subunit ribosomal RNA", at positions 711 to 2868 of the family's 2925-position model. The record is from RNAcentral. Lineage: Bacteria; Pseudomonadati; Pseudomonadota; Gammaproteobacteria; Enterobacterales; Enterobacteriaceae.
AGACCCGAAACCCGGUGAUCUAGCCAUGGGCAGGUUGAAGGUUGGGUAACACUAACUGGAGGACCGAACCGACUAAUGUUGAAAAAUUAGCGGAUGACCUGUGGCUGGGGGUGAAAGGCCAAUCAAACCGGGAGAUAGCUGGUUCUCCCCGAAAGCUAUUUAGGUAGCGCCUCGUGAAUUCAUCUCCGGGGGUAGAGCACUGUUUCGGCUAGGGGGCCAUCCCGGCUUACCAACCCGAUGCAAACUGCGAAUACCGGAGAAUGUUAUCACGGGAGACACACGGCGGGUGCUAACGUCCGUCGUGAAGAGGGAAACAACCCAGACCGCCAGCUAAGGUCCCAAAGUCAUGGUUAAGUGGGAAACGAUGUGGGAAGGCCCAGACAGCCAGGAUGUUGGCUUAGAAGCAGCCAUCAUUUAAAGAAAGCGUAAUAGCUCACUGGUCGAGUCGGCCUGCGCGGAAGAUGUAACGGGGCUAAACCAUGCACCGAAGCUGCGGCAGCGAACGUAUCACCCAAGACAACUUUACGGAGUUGACGAUUGACGGAGCGAAGCGACGUCAAAGCGUUCAUUAAAGUCGAGUUGGCUUAGGGAUACGUUCGUUGGGUAGGGGAGCGUUCUGUAAGCCUGUGAAGGUGUGUCGUGAGGCAUGCUGGAGGUAUCAGAAGUGCGAAUGCUGACAUAAGUAACGAUAAAGCGGGUGAAAAGCCCGCUCGCCGGAAGACCAAGGGUUCCUGUCCAACGUUAAUCGGGGCAGGGUGAGUCGACCCCUAAGGCGAGGCCGAAAGGCGUAGUCGAUGGGAAACGGGUUAAUAUUCCCGUACUUGGUGUUACUGCGAAGGGGGGACGGAGAAGGCUAUGUUGGCCGGGCGACGGUUGUCCCGGUUUAAGCGUGUAGGUGUGUGUUCCAGGUAAAUCCGGUUCACUUUAACACUGAGGCGUGACGACGAGGCACUACGGUGCUGAAGCAACAAAUGCCCUGCUUCCAGGAAAAGCCUCUAAGCAUCAGGUAACACGAAAUCGUACCCCAAACCGACACAGGUGGUCAGGUAGAGAAUACCAAGGCGCUUGAGAGAACUCGGGUGAAGGAACUAGGCAAAAUGGUGCCGUAACUUCGGGAGAAGGCACGCUGACACGUAGGUGAAGUGAUUUACUCAUGGAGCUGAAGUCAGUCGAAGAUACCAGCUGGCUGCAACUGUUUAUUAAAAACACAGCACUGUGCAAACACGAAAGUGGACGUAUACGGUGUGACGCCUGCCCGGUGCCGGAAGGUUAAUUGAUGGGGUCAGCGCAAGCGAAGCUCCUGAUCGAAGCCCCGGUAAACGGCGGCCGUAACUAUAACGGUCCUAAGGUAGCGAAAUUCCUUGUCGGGUAAGUUCCGACCUGCACGAAUGGCGUAAUGAUGGCCAGGCUGUCUCCACCCGAGACUCAGUGAAAUUGAACUCGCUGUGAAGAUGCAGUGUACCCGCGGCAAGACGGAAAGACCCCGUGAACCUUUACUAUAGCUUGACACUGAACAUUGAGCCUUGAUGUGUAGGAUAGGUGGGAGGCUUUGAAGUGUGGACGCCAGUCUGCAUGGAGCCGACCUUGAAAUACCACCCUUUAAUGUUUGAUGUUCUAACGUGGACCCGUAAUCCGGGUUGCGGACAGUGUCUGGUGGGUAGUUUGACUGGGGCGGUCUCCUCCUAAAGAGUAACGGAGGAGCACGAAGGUUGGCUAAUCCUGGUCGGACAUCAGGAGGUUAGUGCAAUGGCAUAAGCCAGCUUGACUGCGAGCGUGACGGCGCGAGCAGGUGCGAAAGCAGGUCAUAGUGAUCCGGUGGUUCUGAAUGGAAGGGCCAUCGCUCAACGGAUAAAAGGUACUCCGGGGAUAACAGGCUGAUACCGCCCAAGAGUUCAUAUCGACGGCGGUGUUUGGCACCUCGAUGUCGGCUCAUCACAUCCUGGGGCUGAAGUAGGUCCCAAGGGUAUGGCUGUUCGCCAUUUAAAGUGGUACGCGAGCUGGGUUUAGAACGUCGUGAGACAGUUCGGUCCCUAUCUGCCGUGGGCGCUGGAGAACUGAGGGGGGCUGCUCCUAGUACGAGAGGACCGGAGUGGACGCAUCACUGGUGUUCGGGUUGUCAUGCCAAUGGCACUGCCCGGUAGCUAAAUGCGGAAGAGAUAAGUGCUGAAAGCAUCUAAGCACGAAACUUGCCCCGAGAUGAGUUCUCCCUGAGACUUAGAGUCUCCUGAAGGAACGUUGAAGACGACGACGUUGAUAGGCCGGGUGU